Molecule: small RNA, 86 nt
Filed under: Escherichia coli
Lineage: Bacteria; Pseudomonadati; Pseudomonadota; Gammaproteobacteria; Enterobacterales; Enterobacteriaceae
Description: partial RtT sRNA
Rfam family: RtT RNA
About the family: This family represents a bacterial cis-regulatory element known as RtT RNA. The exact function of RtT is unknown although it is thought that it may be involved in changing the cellular response in relation to amino acid starvation.
Source: RNAcentral
UGCAUCUGCAGCUCAUGAGGAUGAGAACCUCCGGGGGCAGGGAGGUUCGACUCGAGCGAAGCGAGAGAACGUUGCGCCAGCAACGG